This 144-nucleotide small RNA is filed under the name Flavobacterium psychrophilum. RNAcentral describes it as "Flavo-1 RNA". It matches the Rfam family "Flavo-1 RNA". The record is from RNAcentral. RNAcentral also lists the same sequence under 1 other name. Lineage: Bacteria; Pseudomonadati; Bacteroidota; Flavobacteriia; Flavobacteriales; Flavobacteriaceae.
UUUUGCCCCAGAUAGUAGUGGAAAGCUUCGAGAUUUAGAAAGCUAUUUUUUCUUGAGCUGGCAGAGCGACCAAAGGAAGCUCCUGCUGGCUCGUAGAAAAAAAGCUUUCUAAACGAGAACUUGCAACGAAUAGCUGGAUUAGGC